CAUCAGAUGACUGAAAGUAAGUAAUGGUCUCUUAAACCAAAAUAUAGCAAAUUAACGCUUGCUUCUGAUGA
RNAcentral lists this transfer RNA (71 nucleotides) under Phlaeoba tenebrosa. Its description in RNAcentral is "tRNA-Lys". Lineage: Eukaryota; Metazoa; Arthropoda; Insecta; Orthoptera; Acrididae. The record is from RNAcentral.